UAUAGUACCAAUGUUGGGCCUUGCCAGACGAGUUUUAUCCCAAAACAAAAAUCUAUGUGGUCCCCAUAACAACCCCAAGCAUGUUAGGAGCGCUCAUUUAUGGAACAUAACACCGGUAGCCGAAACUAAGGCGAAAAAGUGGAACAAAACACAAGGCUAGGAGGCCAAGCCUUCCACCUUUUACCAAGUAUAUAGGUGCAUUAAACUAAAUGGAAAUAAUAUGGUGAUAUAACAAGAAACCCCUGUUGGCACAUGGAAGCAACUGCACCUCCAACUAGCAAUGCUAACAAAAGGUUAGGCAAGCGGUAACAUAGCCAAAUAGUGGUUUGCUGUGUUGUGGAAAAGUUAGAGGUUUUCAUGGCAAUGUUGGGAGGCUUAUUUAACACGUGGUAGGCAGCAAGAC
Molecule: long non-coding RNA, 403 nt
Filed under: Hordeum vulgare
Lineage: Eukaryota; Viridiplantae; Streptophyta; Magnoliopsida; Poales; Poaceae
Description: long non-coding RNA (HVUL_LNC003995)
Source: RNAcentral